Molecule: ribosomal RNA, 610 nt
Filed under: uncultured archaeon
Lineage: Archaea
Description: bacterial SSU rRNA
Rfam family: Archaeal small subunit ribosomal RNA
Source: RNAcentral
CGCGAGUCGCGAGUCUUAGGGACUCGGCGUACCGCUCAGUAACACGUGGGUAACCUGCCCUAUGCUGGGGGAUAACCUCGGGAAACUGAGAAUAAUACCCCAUAGUUCACCACGCCUGGAACGGUGGGUGGAUGAAAGCUCCGGCGGCAUAGGAUGGGCCUGCGGCGUAUCAGGUUGUAGGGGGUGUAAUGUACCCUCUAGCCAUCUACGCGUACGGGUGUUGGGAGACAUCGCCCGGAGAUGGAUUCUGAGACACGAAUCCAGACCCUACGGGGUGCAGCAGGCGCGAAAACUUGGCAAUGCGAGCAAUCGUGACCAGGGAACUCCAAGUGCAUCGGGUAAGACCGAUGCUUUUCUUGACUCUUCAAAGGUCUUGGAAUAAGGGGUGGGUAAGGACGGUGCCAGCCGCCGCGGUAAUACCGGCGCCUCAAGUGGUAGUCGCUUUUAUUGGGCCUAAAACGUCCGUAGCCGGUUUGGUACAUUCGUGGGUAAAUCAGGGCGCUCAACGUCUUGAAUUCUGCGAGCACGGCCAGACUUGGGACCGGGUGAGGUGUGGGGUACUCUCAGGGUAGGGGUAAAAUCCUGUCAUCCUGAGAGGACCACCUGUUGC